GAUGAACGCUGGCGGCGUGCCUAAUACAUGCAAGUCGAGCGAACAGACGAGGAGCUUGCUCCUCUGACGUUAGCGGCGGACGGGUGAGUAACACGUGGAUAACCUACCUAUAAGACUGGGAUAACUUCGGGAAACCGGAGCUAAUACCGGAUAAUAUAUUGAACCGCAUGGUUCAAUAGUGAAAGACGGUUUUGCUGUCACUUAUAGAUGGAUCCGCGCCGCAUUAGCUAGUUGGUAAGGUAACGGCUUACCAAGGCAACGAUGCGUAGCCGACCUGAGAGGGUGAUCGGCCACACUGGAACUGAGACACGGUCCAGCCUCCUACGGGAGGCAGCAGUAGGGAAUCUUCCGCAAUGGGCGAAAGCCUGACGGAGAAACGCCGCGUGAGUGAUGAAGGUCUUCGGAUCGUAAACCUCUGUUAUUAGGGAAGAAAAAAUGUGUAAGUAACUAUGCACGUCUUGACGGUACCUAAUAAGAAAGCCACAGCUACCUACGU
RNAcentral lists this ribosomal RNA (496 nucleotides) under uncultured bacterium. RNAcentral's name for it is "partial 16S ribosomal RNA". It matches the Rfam family "Bacterial small subunit ribosomal RNA", at positions 28 to 506 of the family's 1533-position model. The record is from RNAcentral.